Molecule: unclassified non-coding RNA, 499 nt
Filed under: uncultured Glomus
Lineage: Eukaryota; Fungi; Glomeromycota; Glomeromycetes; Glomerales; Glomeraceae
Description: SSU rRNA
Rfam family: Eukaryotic small subunit ribosomal RNA
Source: RNAcentral
CCAAUAGCGUAUAUUAAAGUUGCUGCAGUUAAAAAGCUCGUAGUUGAAUUUCGGGACCAAUAUGUCGGUCGUGCUUUUGUACGUACUGAUAUAAUUGGUUUCUCCCUUCUGAAGAACCUUGAUGUCAUUAAUUUGGUGUCUUGGGGAAUCAGGACUGUUACUUUGAAAAAAUUAGAGUGUUUAAAGCAGGCUCGCGCUUGAAUACAUUAGCAUGGAAUAAUGAAAUAGGACGUUUGAUUCUAUUUUGUUGGUUUCUAGGAUCGACGUAAUGAUUAAUAGGGAUAGUUGGGGGCAUUAGUAUUCAAUUGUCAGAGGUGAAAUUCUUGGAUUUAUUGAAGACUAACUACUGCGAAAGCAUUUGCCAAGGAUGUUUUCAUUAAUCAAGAACGAAAGUUAGGGGAUCGAAGACGAUCAGAUACCGUCGUAGUCUUAACCAUAAACUAUGCCGACUAGGGAUCGGAUGAUGUUAAUUUUUUAAUGACUCAUUCGGCGCCUUACG